AUGGCGUCGCAUGGACUCUCUCGGCGGCUCUGGAUUAUCCCCGCUCCAACGCCGUGGCUGGAUGAUCGCCAUGGCGAUCAAAUGCAAACAGGUACGGCACUUCGCAUAUGGGGGAUCAUUACAGUCACAAAUCUUACUCCGCCGCCUCAUCAUGUUUCAGAUGCACGAAACAAAGAGCGAAGAAAGUUGCAAAAUGCCCGCACGUCAACGAGGAUUUUUUGGCAUCAACCUCCUUUUCCUGUUUUUGUAGGGGCAGGCAGAAAAAUUGAAGAGCCGUGCUAAAAAGUUGUUGGUAUAUAAUGCUCUUAGUUGAGUCCUGAAUACAGGUGCUAGAUUUCGAAAAACAACUUUUAAA
Molecule: long non-coding RNA, 355 nt
Filed under: Selaginella moellendorffii
Lineage: Eukaryota; Viridiplantae; Streptophyta; Lycopodiopsida; Selaginellales; Selaginellaceae
Description: long non-coding RNA (SMOE_LNC000722)
Source: RNAcentral